UCCUAGUACGAGAGGACCGGAGUGGACGAACCUCUGGUGUUCCGGUUGUCACGCCAGUGGCAUUGCCGGGUAGCUACGUUUGGACGGGAUAACCGCUGAAAGCAUCUAAGCGGGAAGCCUCCCUCGAGAUGAGAUCUCCCUGACCCCUUGAGGGUCCUGAAGGGCCGUGGAAGACCACCACGUUGAUAGGCGGGAUGUGGACGCGCUGCGAGGCGUGAAGCUAACCCGUACUAAUUGCCCGUGCGGCUUGACCAUAUAACGCCAAAGCAGUU
RNAcentral lists this ribosomal RNA (272 nucleotides) under Alcanivorax sp. RNAcentral's name for it is "partial 23S ribosomal RNA". It matches the Rfam family "Bacterial large subunit ribosomal RNA", at positions 2676 to 2925 of the family's 2925-position model. The record is from RNAcentral. Lineage: Bacteria; Pseudomonadati; Pseudomonadota; Gammaproteobacteria; Oceanospirillales; Alcanivoracaceae.